RNAcentral lists this long non-coding RNA (416 nucleotides) under Malus domestica (apple). RNAcentral describes it as "long non-coding RNA (MDOM_LNC003899)". Lineage: Eukaryota; Viridiplantae; Streptophyta; Magnoliopsida; Rosales; Rosaceae. The record is from RNAcentral.
ACUCUCUCCUUCCAAUUUUGUCAGGAUUUGGUAAAGUUCCCAAAGUAUUAUCUUCUCAAGGGAAUAUUAAAAGUUCCCGUUUGUACGUUCUCUACUUUCUCAAUCUUACCAUGAACCAAACAUGAAUUUUGAAAUUGUUGCCAUCUUCUUUCCAUCCAGUCCUUGCCAACUCACAGAUUCUCAAACUCGAGAUUAUAAUUAAAAGGUAUUGUAUGCAAAGUGCAUAAGCAUAACACAAUGUCUACAGUUUACUUCAACUUUCAAUUGCAGGUAUCGAAAAUAGUCCAAUCACACCCUGAACUCAAACCCAAGUCAGGUAUUGAACAGAAUAAAACACGUAUACGUACCUGUUCUCUUCAGAAUAGGGAUGAAUCGAAAGAAACGUGCCCGGGACAGUAAGUGCCGCCCACAUACAG